This 467-nucleotide ribosomal RNA is filed under the name uncultured bacterium. RNAcentral describes it as "partial 16S ribosomal RNA". It matches the Rfam family "Bacterial small subunit ribosomal RNA", at positions 28 to 506 of the family's 1533-position model. The record is from RNAcentral.
GACGAACGCUGGCGGCGCGCCUAACACAUGCAAGUCGAACGGAGUCAAGAGGAGCUUGCUUUUCUUGACUUAGUGGUGAACGGGUGAGUAACGCGUGAGUAACCUGCCCUGGAGUGGGGGACAACAGUUGGAAACGACUGCUAAUACCGCAUAAGCCCACGGAUCCGCAUGGAUCUGCGGGAAAAGGAUUUAUUCGCUUCAGGAUGGACUCGCGUCCAAUUAGCUAGUUGGUGAGGUAACGGCCCACCAAGGCGACGAUUGGUAGCCGGACUGAGAGGUUGAGCGGCCACAUUGGGACUGAGACACGGCCCAGACUCCUACGGGAGGCAGCAGUGGGGGAUAUUGCACAAUGGGGGAAACCCUGAUGCAGCGACGCCGCGUGGAGGAAGAAGGUUUUCGGAUUGUAAACUCCUGUCGUUAGGGACGAUAAUGACGGUACCUAACAAGAAAGCACCGGCUAACUACGU